CGUCCGUCAGCCGUCAGAUAUAAGUAUAUAAGUACUUAAAAUUUUAUAUUUAAUUUUCGAAAGUUUUAUAAGCAAUAAGUGAGUUUAAAUAUUGCAGUAAUUUUGUAUUGAAUGUUAUCUUAAAUUCCGUUCAUCUUAGCGGUGCUGAGGAUGUAUUUUUGCCCUUCUCGGAGUGUUCGCGAACAUUCAAUUGAUCACUGAGUUGAAGGGGGCCUGCCGGACAAGGACAAGGAUACCUCAUCUACAUCCGGUUUUUUAACAAACAUAGCAGUAGAUAAAAAUUGAAGGUCAACUAAAUGCUAAAUCGACUAGUAGUUAUGAGUUAUCAUGAAUUGCCGAAUCAGUGUAAUAUAUCUUGUAGAAGAUGUGUGACACUGCACGUGCUUGUAUUGGAUGAUGCGGAUCAGUGCUUGAAAUGGGUGCCAUUAUAAGCAAUGGCGCCUCCUUUGGCUUUUUGAUUUACCCUUUGUUGUCAGUGUCGAACCAAGAGAUGAUUCAGGAAACGGUAUUGAUAAAAGGGAAAGAUAAGUGGCUGCCCGUUUUUUGACCGGCCCUUUCAGUUGUACUGUUGCAACGCGAACUGUUUCACUUCUAAUAUUCUCUUCAUUGAUGGAAAAUAUUCACCCUUUACUAUCAAUAAUUGGCCAACUGUCAUGUUAGGUUGGGGCCUUAGCCACUUGGGUCUAUGUUGUAAUUGAGGUAGGUAUUGACUAUG
Hermetia illucens (black soldier fly) is the source of this 715-nucleotide long non-coding RNA. RefSeq lists it as uncharacterized. NCBI's taxonomy places the organism in Eukaryota, Metazoa, Arthropoda, Insecta, Diptera, Stratiomyidae. The transcript has 3 exons. The record is from RefSeq and is a predicted model, not a curated record.